RNAcentral lists this long non-coding RNA (1173 nucleotides) under Cervus hanglu yarkandensis (Yarkand deer). RNAcentral describes it as "lncRNA (ENSCHYG00000026606.1)". Lineage: Eukaryota; Metazoa; Chordata; Mammalia; Artiodactyla; Cervidae. The record is from RNAcentral.
CCCGCUGGGUCCCGGGACGAGCUCUCUGCAGACCCCGCCCGCCCGCCCCGCCCUCCAAGCUGCCGCGAACACCCGGAGGAGCGGAUUUGCGUAGCGCGGGCAGCUGGGCCGGCUCGGGCAGCGGACUGGGCAUGCUCGGCAGCCCGGGAGGCUCGCGGUGGCUAGUCGGAAGCGUUCGCACCAGCUAGGCAGCGGUCGGGGCAGCGGCGGCGGCAGCGAGGGGCAGCACGGGAGCGGGAAGAGCCGGCCAGGGAAGGCUGCUCUCUCCUAGCGCCCGGUGAGCCGGAGAGAGAGCGCAAUCCGGGUACGGAGCCCCAACGCUGCCCUGCCCCGGAUUUCAUUCCGCGGCUGGGGGCUCGGCGAGCGGAAUUCCGGCGGCUGCCGCGACUCCGGUGCAAAGUGAGGACAGCAUGAACAUUCCUAAGUGUGCCUCUGGGCAUAUUUAGCCAUUCGCUUUUGAUUAGAAGAAAGAAGAAGGCCAUCCACUUGAAAGGUGAGUAAAGAUUUCCAUGUGUCUUUUUAUUACAAAAAUUUUCAAACUUACUGAAGAGGUAAAGGAUAAGCAGCAAGUUUUUAUGUGUCCACUACCUACAUUUAACAUUUGUUAGCAUUUUGCCAUAUUGUGUGUGUGUGUUCAGGUUUCCACAUUUUCCUACUGAAACAUGUGAAAGUAAGUUUAAGAGAUCAUGAUGUUUUUAUCUUCAAUUCUUGGGGAUGCAGUUCCUAAAAAUAAGGCUAUUCUCUCCCAAGAGGGAGUUUAGAACAUGUAUAAACUCUAUGGCAGAAUCAUUUAGUUAAGUACAAUUAUAUUUAGGCAGUGAUUUACUUAGUGGACAGACCUGUAAUGUGAAUUUGUUUGAUAUGAAAAACAUCUGAAUAUAAAAAAUUGGAAUUUGCACUCUGCAUGUGCCCUGCGUAGCAGAGGAUUCCUGUGUUUUCUCUGUUCCUGGUAAUGUGCUGGUCUGCCCCACUGUGGCUGAUGUUUGUUCUUAGGUCAGCGGAUCAGAUUACUGUUCUUCCUCCUGCCUAAUCAGCCUUCACACGUAGCCCAAUCUCUGGAUCUAAUGUGAUCAAAGGUCUUAACUGAUUUUUUUAAACCAAAACUUACAGGAGAAUAUGAAAAGAACAUGAGUAGUGUUGUCUAGUUGAGUUUCAGUUCAGUCGCUCAGUCGU